This 242-nucleotide ribosomal RNA is filed under the name uncultured Petrimonas sp. RNAcentral's name for it is "partial 16S ribosomal RNA". It matches the Rfam family "Bacterial small subunit ribosomal RNA", at positions 796 to 1041 of the family's 1533-position model. The record is from RNAcentral. Lineage: Bacteria; Pseudomonadati; Bacteroidota; Bacteroidia; Bacteroidales; Dysgonomonadaceae.
CACGCAGUAAACGAUGAUUACUGGCUGUUUGCGAUACAAUGUAAGCGGCUGAGCGAAAGCGUUAAGUAAUCCACCUGGGGAGUACGUUCGCAAGAAUGAAACUCAAAGGAAUUGACGGGGGCCCGCACAAGCGGAGGAACAUGUGGUUUAAUUCGAUGAUACGCGAGGAACCUUACCCGGGCUUGAAAUGCGGUGGACCGGCGGAGAGAUCCGCCCUCCCUUCGGGGCCACCGUGUAGGUGC